GAGGGAUAUUGCACAAUGGGCGAAAGCCUGAUGCAGCAACGCCGCGUGAGGGAUGACGGUCUUCGGAUUGUAAACCUCUGUCCUCAGUGAAGAAAAAAAUGACGGUAGCUGAGGAGGAAGCCACGGCUAACUACGUGCCAGCAGCCGCGGUAAUACGUAGGUGGCAAGCGUUGUCCGGAAUUACUGGGUGUAAAGGGAGCGCAGGCGGGCGUGCAAGUCAGCUGUGAAAUCCAUGGGCUUAACCCGUGGGCUGCAGUUGAAACUGUAUGUCUUGAGUGAAGUAGAGGUAGGCGGAAUUCCGAGUGUAGCGGUAAAAUGCGUAGAUAUUCGGAGGAACACCGGUGGCGAAGGCGGCCUACUGGGCUUUAACUGACGCUGAGGCUCGAAAGUGUGGGGAGCAAAC
RNAcentral lists this ribosomal RNA (403 nucleotides) under uncultured bacterium. RNAcentral's name for it is "bacterial SSU rRNA". It matches the Rfam family "Bacterial small subunit ribosomal RNA", at positions 356 to 773 of the family's 1533-position model. The record is from RNAcentral.